CCUACGGGUGGCAGCAGUGGGGAAUAUUGGGCAAUGGGCGCGAGCCUGACCCAGCAACGCCGCGUGAGGGAAGACGGCUUUCGGGUUGUAAACUUCUUUUUGCAGGGAAGCGUAGAAGACGGUACCUGUCGAAUAAGCCACGGCUAACUACGUGCCAGCAGCCGCGGUGAUACGGAGGUGGCAAGCGUUGUCCGGAUUUACGGGGGGUAAAGGGCGUGUAGCCGGGUUGACAAGUCAGAUGUGAAAUCCUGCGGCUUAACCGCAGAACUGCAUUUGAAACUGUGGAUCUUGAGUACUGGAGAGGCAGACGGAAUGCGUAGUGUAGCGGUGAAAUGCGUAGAUAUUAGGAGGAACACCAGUGGCGAAGGCGGUCUGCUGGAGAGCAACUGACGGUGAGGCGCGAAAGCGUGGGGAGCAAACAGGAUUAGAUACCCCAGUAGUC
RNAcentral lists this ribosomal RNA (442 nucleotides) under uncultured bacterium. Its description in RNAcentral is "partial 16S ribosomal RNA". It matches the Rfam family "Bacterial small subunit ribosomal RNA", at positions 338 to 795 of the family's 1533-position model. The record is from RNAcentral.